GUGGGGAAUCUUGCGCAAUGGGCGAAAGCCUGACGCAGCCAUGCCGCGUGAAUGAUGAAGGUCUUAGGAUUGUAAAAUUCUUUCACCGGGGACGAUAAUGACGGUACCCGGAGAAGAAGCCCCGGCUAACUUCGUGCCAGCAGCCGCGGUAAUACGAAGGGGGCUAGCGUUGCUCGGAAUUACUGGGCGUAAAGGGCGCGUAGGCGGACAGUUUAGUCAGAGGUGAAAGCCCAGGGCUCAACCUUGGAAUUGCCUUUGAUACUGGCUGUCUUGAGUACGGGAGAGGUGAGUGGAACUCCGAGUGUAGAGGUGAAAUUCGUAGAUAUUCGGAGGAACACCAGUGGCGAAGGCGGCUUACUGGUCCAUUACUGACGCUGAGGUGCGAAAGCGUGGGGAGCAAACAGGAUUAGAAACCCGUGUAGUCC
This 425-nucleotide ribosomal RNA is filed under the name uncultured bacterium. RNAcentral describes it as "partial 16S ribosomal RNA". It matches the Rfam family "Bacterial small subunit ribosomal RNA", at positions 354 to 796 of the family's 1533-position model. The record is from RNAcentral.